UGGGGAAUUUUGGACAAUGGGCGAAAGCCUGAUCCAGCAAUGCCGCGUGUGUGAAGAAGGCCUUCGGGUUGUAAAGCACUUUUGUCCGGAAAGAAAUCCUUGGCUCUAAUACAGUCGGGGGAUGACGGUACCGGAAGAAUAAGCACCGGCUAACUACGUGCCAGCAGCCGCGGUAAUACGUAGGGUGCAAGCGUUAAUCGGAAUUACUGGGCGUAAAGCGUGCGCAGGCGGUUUGCUAAGACCGAUGUGAAAUCCCCGGGCUCAACCUGGGAACUGCAUUGGUGACUGGCAGGCUAGAGUAUGGCAGAGGGGGGUAGAAUUCCACGUGUAGCAGUGAAAUGCGUAGAGAUGUGGAGGAAUACCGAUGGCGAAGGCAGCCCCCUGGGCCAAUACCGACGCUCAUGCACGAAAGCGUGGGGAGCAAACAGGAUUAGAUACCCUGGUAGUCCACGCCCUAAACGAUGUCAACUAGUUGUUGGGGAUUCAUUUCCUUAGUAACGUAGCUAACGCGUGAAGUUGACCGCCUGGGGAGUACGGUCGCAAGAUUAAAACUCAAAGGAAUUGACGGGGUCAUAGCUG
RNAcentral lists this ribosomal RNA (579 nucleotides) under uncultured bacterium. Its description in RNAcentral is "partial 16S ribosomal RNA". It matches the Rfam family "Bacterial small subunit ribosomal RNA", at positions 355 to 932 of the family's 1533-position model. The record is from RNAcentral.